GUCUACGGCCAUGCCACCCUGAAUGUGCCCGAUCUCAUCUGAUCUCAGAAGCUAAGCAGGGUUGGGCCUGGUUAGUACUUGAAUGGGAGACCACCUAGGUAGAACAGGUGCUGUAGGCG
Molecule: ribosomal RNA, 119 nt
Filed under: Pteropus alecto (black flying fox)
Lineage: Eukaryota; Metazoa; Chordata; Mammalia; Chiroptera; Pteropodidae
Source: RNAcentral